UGGGUAGGAGCUUCUCAUAAAUAAAGGAGCUCAGGGUAAAGUAAAGAGGAAACUAUAGUGGGAAAAGGGAAUUUCUUGGUAGGAUCACCUGUAUUACAGAGGGGAAGCUGCCUACAGCAGGGAAGCUCAGGUGAUGCUGGGAGAAAUCCAGUGGUCCCUAAUCAGAAGGGAGAGCUGUGAGAGAAGUAAGAAAAGACUGGGUGGACAGCAAAUCACACGAGUCAUGAUAUGAGGCGGACGUUCCCCAAAAGAGUGGACUUAGGAAUUUCCAAUAUUUCCUGGAAACACCACAAGAGGUUCAGAUAGGCCUCUAAACUUAACUCAUUGCUCUUGAACUCUGAAUACUUUGAGGUUGACCCAUUUUGCUGUAAUAGUUUAACGGCAAACUUCCACUCAGACAGCAAAAUUGCUCAUGGCGAUCAAAUCCUGAAGAAGGUCCAAGCACUUUCAUGCUUGUAACAGUAUUUCUGGGUGUGGCUUUUUUGCAGAGCAAUUCAUCCUGAGCCUGUAUCCAUAUAUUGACCUGACUGCUAUUUAACUGUGGUCCUUUUAACAUUGUGUGUGGAAUUUUUAAAAUAAGGAUUUAGUGUUCCCUUCUGGGUGAAUGGAAAGGGAGGCAAGAGGAAAGGAUUUCCCUAAUGGUACAACAAAAGCACUUAGUAAGUAAUUGAUCAUCAUCAAGUGCCAGCCUUAUCUGAAACUCGGGCCUUUCUUCCAUGAUUCACCAGUGUUUGUGGUGACCUGCUACUCAUACAGGAAAGGGGGCAGUGUAGUAAAUCCAAACUGGUAUUCUCCAGCCCCUGUUUCCUUUGUAAAGUACACAUUAAUAAAUGUAUUUCUAUUCCAAGAAUUAAAAUGUCAGAAUACUCUUCAUUUCUGAUUUUUGUAUCUCUCUAUUUGCAUAUGAAUCAAUAGCAGACUUUUUUACAAGUAACUGUAAGAAAGUGAAUUUACUUAUUGACUGAGAUUAUCAAGCCAUCAGGCAGACACUACUGCAGAUAGAAUUGCCUUUUGUGUUGAUGCCUGCCAGCCUUUAACAGAGAAAGUGGUGUGCUUUUUGCUAGUGAGAGCUAAUACACAGGAAGGUAAUGGGUUUUUAAAAAUGUUGUAAACCUUAAUGGUGUUAGAUCAAUAAUAUGAGUACUACAGGUAAAAUGCUCUUACAUAUAUUAUUAAGACCUUCUUCAAAAUGUAGCUUCUUGAAGGACUUUUUAGAAUGUAAGAGUGGCAUAUCAUCUCUACAGUAAAAUGCUAAUGGCUCCAAGUUUGAAAAAAUGUGAAUUGUCU
Long non-coding RNA from Chelonia mydas (Green sea turtle), 1287 nucleotides. RefSeq lists it as uncharacterized. The record is from RefSeq and is a predicted model, not a curated record. The transcript has 3 exons. Lineage: Eukaryota; Metazoa; Chordata; Testudines; Cheloniidae.